Molecule: unclassified non-coding RNA, 241 nt
Filed under: Hevea brasiliensis (rubber tree)
Lineage: Eukaryota; Viridiplantae; Streptophyta; Magnoliopsida; Malpighiales; Euphorbiaceae
Source: RNAcentral
AAAAAGGCGAGUGUUCAUUCUUAAACAAAUUCCACAAGAUCAAACAAAUGGAGAUUCCCCCUACCACAGUCCCGAAAACACAACCAUCCUCCAAUGAAUAAACUUGGGCUUCAUUACACUCCGAGACAGCAGAAGGAAUCUGUGGGAGGCAAAAAGUACAUGCUGAAGCAUACUAAGUUUUAAUUUGGUUUCCUCAUAUUUCGCCCAGCCCUAAUCACUUCAUCCACCAAUAAUAACUGGG